This 271-nucleotide ribosomal RNA is filed under the name uncultured archaeon. RNAcentral's name for it is "partial 16S ribosomal RNA". It matches the Rfam family "Archaeal small subunit ribosomal RNA", at positions 477 to 747 of the family's 1478-position model. The record is from RNAcentral.
CGGCGGCCCGAGUGGUAAUCACUUUUAUUGGGUCUAAAGGGUCCGUAGCCGGUUUGAUCAGUUCUUCGGGAAAUCUGACAGCUCAACUGUUAGGCUUCCGGGGAAUACUGUCAGACUUGGGACCGGGAGAGGUAAGAGGUACUACAGGGGUAGGAGUGAAAUCUUGUAAUCCCUGUGGGACCACCAGUGGCGAAGGCGUCUUACCAGAACGGGUCCGACGGUGAGGGACGAAAGCUGGGGGCACGAACCGGAUUAGAUACCCGAGUAGUCC